ACUAUCUUUAGAUAAAUUUGUAUAUGUUAAGGUGGUUAAAAUUAUUUAUUUUAUAAACAUCAUUAUGUUAAGUAGAGGUGAUCAAAACUUAAUUUUGUUAUUAUUACAAGUACUGAAAAGGAAUAAUAGUUUUAAUUGUGUUAAAGAAUAGUUUUAUCUAGUACCUUUUGCAUUAUGGUUUAACUAGAUUUACUUUAUAGAUAUAAUUUCUCGAAGUUAAAUGAGCUAUUUUGGAUCUAAUUUAUAGGUUAUAUAAAUUUAACUGUUGCAGAAGUUUAUUAAGAAUUCAAAAUAGGUAUGAAAUUUUUUUCGCAUUUGACGAUAGCUAGUUUUCCCUAAAUUGUAUAUAUGUACUUAAAAUUAAGUAAUUAUAUUAAAAUUUCGUUUUAAUGUAAUUUUUUAGUUUUGUUAUAUUUCUGAGGAUAAGCUCAGAAAUAGAAAUUUACAUUGAUUUUUCUAUUAAAUUUAGGCUUGAAAAUAGCCAUAAUAUAAAGUUUGUUUUAAUUUAUUUUUAACGGGAAAAUAAAAUUUAUAUGUUUUAUGGAAAGGGAAGUAUGUAUAAAAUUUUUAAUAUACAUAAAUUUAUGUUAAAAUGAGUAUUAAAGUUAUAUAUAAAAUUUUAUUAAAAGAAUUAAAGGAAAAGCAAAUUUUUUUGGUUUAAAGAUUAAAUUAUUAAAAGGAACUCGGCAAAUAUUUACUUCGCCUGUUUAACAAAAACAUGGCUCCAUGUUUACAUAGUAUAUGGAGUCUUACCUGCCCAGUGAUUUAUUUAACGGCCGCGGUACUCUGACCGUGCGAAGGUAGCAUAAUAAUUUGUCCUAUAAUUGGGGACUAGAAUGAAUGGUUUGACGAAAGUAAUACUGUCUCUUUUUAAUUUUAUAGAAUUUUACUUCUAGGUGAAAAGGCCUAGAGUUUUAUUAAAAGACAAGAAGACCCUAUCGAGCUUAGAAAUAUUUUUGUGAUUUAUAGAUUUAUAAUUUUAGAUAAAUUUUCAUGAAACAUUUUAGUUGGGGCGACUAAGGAACAAAAGAAGCUUCCUUAUAGUUGAAAUACUUUCAAGUGUUGAUCCAGUUUUAUUGAUUAAGGGAAAUAGUUACCGUAGGGAUAACAGCAUUAUCUUUUUUGAGAGUUCUUAUUGAAAAAAAGGUUUGUGACCUCGAUGUUGAAUCAGAAUAUCCUGAAGAUGCAGAAGUCUUCAAAGGUUGGUCUGUUCGACCAUUAAAAUUCUACGUGAUUUGAGUUCAGACCGGCGUGAGCCAGGUCAGUUUCUAUCUUUAAUUUAUUUUUUAAGUUUAGUACGAAAGGACCAACUUAAAAUAUUAUAUAUUUAAUUAGAAUAAUUAUAAUAAUUUAAAGUGAGCUUU
RNAcentral lists this ribosomal RNA (1364 nucleotides) under Desmaulus extinctorium. RNAcentral describes it as "16S ribosomal RNA". The stretch from base 615 to 1364 matches the Rfam family "Archaeal large subunit ribosomal RNA", at positions 1423 to 2881 of the family's 2987-position model. The record is from RNAcentral. Lineage: Eukaryota; Metazoa; Mollusca; Gastropoda; Littorinimorpha; Calyptraeidae.